This 387-nucleotide ribosomal RNA is filed under the name uncultured bacterium. Its description in RNAcentral is "bacterial SSU rRNA". It matches the Rfam family "Bacterial small subunit ribosomal RNA", at positions 28 to 417 of the family's 1533-position model. The record is from RNAcentral.
GACGAACGCUGGCGGCGUGCUUAACACAUGCAAGUCGAGCGGUAAGGCCCUUUCGGGGGUACACGAGCGGCGAACGGGUGAGUAACACGUGGGUGACCUGCCCUCAGCUCUGGGAUAAGCCUGGGAAACCGGGUCUAAUACCGGAUAUGACUCCAUGACGCAUGUUGUGGGGUGGAAAGCCUUGUGCGGCUGAGGAUGGGCCCGCGGCCUAUCAGCUUGUUGGUGGGGUGAUGGCCUACCAAGGCGACGACGGGUAGCCGGCCUGAGAGGGCGACCGGCCACACUGGGACUGAGACACGGCCAGACUCCUACGGGAGGCAGCAGUGGGGAAUCUUGCGCAAUGGGCGAAAGCCUGACGCAGCGACGCCGCGUGAGGGAUGACGGCCU